RNAcentral lists this small nuclear RNA (311 nucleotides) under Nannospalax galili (Upper Galilee mountains blind mole rat). RNAcentral describes it as "7SK RNA (ENSNGAG00000005689.1)". It matches the Rfam family "7SK RNA". Rfam says of the family: 7SK was discovered as an abundant small nuclear RNA in the mid-70s but a possible function has only recently been suggested. Two independent studies have found that 7SK RNA binds the CDK9/cyclin T complex (known as elongation factor P-TEFb). P-TEFb activates transcription by phosphorylating the C-terminal domain of RNA polymerase II. Lineage: Eukaryota; Metazoa; Chordata; Mammalia; Rodentia; Spalacidae. The record is from Rfam by way of RNAcentral.
GAAUGAGAGUGUGGUCUGGCUAUCACACCUGUCACCCAGUUGAUAGCCGGGUCUAUUCAGCUGAUCUGGCUGGCUAAGAGGAGCAUUCUCUCUUCCGUCUUUGCUCCCUGCAUGUUCUAUCAGAACUGCCUACGUGGUCAAAGAGGAAGGUUUCCCUGUUGGAAGAUGACUAUCCUUUAUUCAAGUGUGUUUAAAUAGCUAUGUGCCCGUCUACUAGAAUUUUCAAUGAAGCUUUGCAAAAAGGGGUCAGUAAAAGACAAAAUAAAAAACAUUGAUCUAGGAAAAAAGAAAAGCAUUUGGUUUCUUAUGGU